This 463-nucleotide ribosomal RNA is filed under the name uncultured bacterium. Its description in RNAcentral is "partial 16S ribosomal RNA". It matches the Rfam family "Bacterial small subunit ribosomal RNA", at positions 339 to 795 of the family's 1533-position model. The record is from RNAcentral.
CUACGGGGCGCUCCAGUGGGGAAUAUUGCGCAAUGGGGGAAACCCUGACGCAGCAACGCCGUGUGUGUGAAGAAGGUUUUCGGAUCGUAAAGCACUGUUGAGUGGAACGAGCCGGUCGUAGUGAAUAGCUGCGGCCCCGACGGUACCACCUGAGGAAGCACCGGCUAACUCCGUGCCAGCAGCCGCGGUAAUACGGAGGUGGCAAGCGUUGUUCGGAAUUAUUGGGCGUAAAGCGCACGUAGGCGGACUGUUAAGUCUGAUGUGAAAUCCCUCGGCUCAACCGAGGACGUGCAUUGGAUACUGGCAGUCUUGAGUCCCGGAGAGGGUGGCGGAAUUCCCAGUGUAGAGGUGAAAUUCGUAGAUAUUGGGAGGAACACCAGUGGCGAAGGCGGCCACCUGGACGGUGACUGACGCUGAGGUGCGAAAGCGUGGGUAGCAAACAGGAUUAGAUACCCUGGUAGUC